This 419-nucleotide ribosomal RNA is filed under the name uncultured bacterium. Its description in RNAcentral is "bacterial SSU rRNA". It matches the Rfam family "Bacterial small subunit ribosomal RNA", at positions 358 to 774 of the family's 1533-position model. The record is from RNAcentral.
GGAAUAUUGGACAAUGGUCGGAAGACUGAUCCAGCCAUGCCGCGUGAAGGAAUAAGGUCCUAUGGAUUGUAAACUUCUUUUGAGAGGGAGCAAUAAGGUGUACGUGUACACCGAUGAGAGUACCUUUCGAAUAAGCAUCGGCUAACUCCGUGCCAGCAGCCGCGGUAAUACGGAGGAUGCGAGCGUUAUCCGGAUUUAUUGGGUUUAAAGGGUGCGUAGGCGGUUUUUUAAGUCAGCGGUGAAACGCAAGGGCUCAACCCUUGACCUGCCGUUGAAACUGGAGGACUUGAAUGCGGAUGCUGUGGGAGGAAUGUGUGGUGUAGCGGUGAAAUGCAUAGAUAUCACACAGAACACCGAUUGCGAAGGCAUCUCACAAAUCCGUGAUUGACGCUGAGGCACGAAAGUGUGGGGAUCAAACA